CCUCCCACCCGUGUAUACCGUACCCUGUUGCUUCGGCGGGCCCGCCUCACGGCCGCCGGGGGGCCUCGCGCCCCCGGGCCCGCGCCCGCCGAAGACCCCAACACGAACACUGUCUGAAAAGUGCAGUCUGAGUCGAUUGUUACCAAUCAGUCAAAACUUUCAACAAUGGAUCUCUUGGUUCCGGCAUCGAUGAAGAACGCAGCGAAAUGCGAUAACUAAUGUGAAUUGCAGAAUUCAGUGAAUCAUCGAGUCUUUGAACGCACAUUGCGCCCCCUGGUAUUCCGGGGGGCAUGCCUGUCCGAGCGUCAUUGCUGCCCUCAAGCACGGCUUGUGUGUUGGGCCCCGUCCCCGGUACCCCCGGGGACGGGCCCGAAAGGCAGCGGCGGCACCGCGUCCGGUCCUCGAGCGUAUGGGGCUUUGUCACCCGCUCCGCAGGCCCGGCCGGCGCCAGCCGACCAACCCAACCAUUUUCUACAGGUUGACCUCGGAUCAGGUAGGGAUACCCGCUGAACUUAAGCAUAUCAAUAA
This 528-nucleotide ribosomal RNA is filed under the name Aspergillus candidus. RNAcentral describes it as "eukaryotic LSU rRNA". The stretch from base 155 to 308 matches the Rfam family "5.8S ribosomal RNA". The record is from RNAcentral. Lineage: Eukaryota; Fungi; Ascomycota; Eurotiomycetes; Eurotiales; Aspergillaceae.